This 508-nucleotide ribosomal RNA is filed under the name uncultured bacterium. Its description in RNAcentral is "partial 16S ribosomal RNA". It matches the Rfam family "Bacterial small subunit ribosomal RNA", at positions 28 to 523 of the family's 1533-position model. The record is from RNAcentral.
GAUGAACGCUAGCUACAGGCUUGACACAUGCAAGUCGAGGGGAAACGACAUUGGAAGCUUGCUUCCGAUGGGCGUCGACCGGCGCACGGGUGAGUAACGCGUAUCCAACCUGCCCAUCACUUGGGGAUAACCUUGCGAAAGUAAGACUAAUACCCAAUGAUAUCUCUAGAAGACAUCUGAAAGGGAUUAAAGAUUUAUCGGUGAUGGAUGGGGAUGCGUCUGAUUAGCUUGUUGGCGGGGUAACGGCCCACCAAGGCGACGAUCAGUAGGGGUUCUGAGAGGAAGGUCCCCCACAUUGGAACUGAGACACGGUCCAAACUCCGACGGGAGGCAGCAGUGAGGAAUAUUGGUCAAUGGGCGAGAGCCUGAACCAGCCAAGUAGCGUGCAGGAUGACGGCCCUAUGGGUUGUAAACUGCUUUUAUAAGGGAAUAAAGUGAGUCUCGUGAGACUUUUUGCAUGUACCUUAUGAAUAAGGACCGGCUAAUUCCGUGCCAGCCGCCGCAGUAA